RNAcentral lists this ribosomal RNA (468 nucleotides) under uncultured bacterium. Its description in RNAcentral is "partial 16S ribosomal RNA". It matches the Rfam family "Bacterial small subunit ribosomal RNA", at positions 28 to 507 of the family's 1533-position model. The record is from RNAcentral.
GACGAACGCUGGCGGCGUGCUUAACACAUGCAAGUCGAACGGAAAGGCCCUGCUUUUGUGGGGUGCUCGAGUGGCGAACGGGUGAGUAACACGUGAGUAACCUGCCCUUGACUUUGGGAUAACUUCAGGAAACUGGGGCUAAUACCGGAUAGGAGCUCCUGCUGCAUGGUGGGGGUUGGAAAGUUUCGGCGGAUGGGGAUGGACUCGCGGCUUAUCAGCUUGUUGGUGGGGUAGUGGCUUACCAAGGCUUUGACGGGUAGCCGGCCUGAGAGGGUGACCGGCCACAUUGGGACUGAGAUACGGCCCAGACUCCUACGGGAGGCAGCAGUGGGGAAUAUUGCACAAUGGGCGGAAGCCUGAUGCAGCAACGCCGCGUGCGGGAUGACGGCCUUCGGGUUGUAAACCGCUUUCGCCUGUGACGAAGCGUGAGUGACGGAAAUGGGUAAAGAAGCACCGGCUAACUACGUG